GUUUUCGGCUGGCUGCACGCACCAGGCGCACCCAGAAACCCUUUGUGAACUUAUACCUUACUGUUGCCUCGGCGCAUGCUGUGCCCCCAGCGGGGCCCCCUGGAGACAGGGAGCAGGCACGCCGGCGGCCAAGUUAACUCUUGUUUUUACACUGAAACUCUGAGAAAAAACACAAAUGAAUCAAAACUUUCAACAACGGAUCUCUUGGUUCUGGCAUCGAUGAAGAACGCAGCGAAAUGCGAUAAGUAAUGUGAAUUGCAGAAUUCAGUGAAUCAUCGAAUCUUUGAACGCACAUUGCGCCCUCUGGUAUUCCGGAGGGCAUGCCUGUUCGAGCGUCAUUUCAACCCUCAAGCACUGCUUGGUGUUGGGGCACUGCUUUUACCCAAAAGCAGGCCCUGAAAUCUAGUGGCGAGCUCGCCAGGACCCCGAGCGCAGUAUUUAUAACCCUCGCUUUGGAAGGCCCUGGCGGUGCCCUGCCGUUAAACCCCCAACUUUUGAAAAUUUGACCUCGGAUCAGGUAGGAAUACCCGCUGAACUUAAGCAUAUCAAUAAGCGGAGGAA
RNAcentral lists this ribosomal RNA (561 nucleotides) under Diaporthe liquidambaris. RNAcentral's name for it is "eukaryotic LSU rRNA". The stretch from base 185 to 338 matches the Rfam family "5.8S ribosomal RNA". The record is from RNAcentral. Lineage: Eukaryota; Fungi; Ascomycota; Sordariomycetes; Diaporthales; Diaporthaceae.